CACCAGGUUGAUUCUGCCUGACGUAGAGGCUAGACUCAAAGAUUAAGCCAUGCAUGUUUGCGAAGUUUAUAAUGAAACAACAGACGGCUCAGUAAUUCUGCGAUUAUUUGCACUAUCUAKAAAAGAUAACUAAUGUAACCAUUAGCUAAGAAGAUAGUUUAAGACGCAGGCUCAUCAGUUAGUUGGUAGUGUAAUGGACUACCAAGACUAUAACGGGUAACGGGAAAUUAGGGUUUUAUUCCGGAGAGGGAGCCUGAGAGAUGGCUCCCACGUCCAAGGACGGCAGCAGGCGCGAAAAUUGCCCACUCUUGAUAUGAGGAGGCAGUUAUGAGACAUGUUCAAAAGAAUAGACUGUAAAUAGGUCUAUGUGAUGCGAUUGGAGGGCAAGUUUGGUGCCAGCAGCCGCGGUAAUACCGACUCCAAGAGUUUCUAGAUGGGCGAGAGAUGAAAUACCAAGACCCCAACUGGACUAACAGAGGCGAAAGCGAUGUUCUUAUACGAAUCCUUAGAUCAAGGACGAAGGUUAGAAUAUCGAAAGUGAUUAGAUACCGCUGUAGUUCUAACAGUAAACUAUGCCGACUUAAUAUUAUAUUAGUAUAGUGUUAAAGAGAAAUCUUAAGUAUUCGGGCUCUGGGGAUAGUAUGCUCGCAAGUGUGAAAAUUAAAGAAAUU
RNAcentral lists this ribosomal RNA (671 nucleotides) under Microsporidium sp. BPAR2 PAR8. RNAcentral describes it as "SSU rRNA". It matches the Rfam family "Microsporidia small subunit ribosomal RNA", at positions 1 to 788 of the family's 1311-position model. Lineage: Eukaryota; Fungi; Microsporidia. The record is from RNAcentral.